RNAcentral lists this ribosomal RNA (430 nucleotides) under uncultured bacterium. Its description in RNAcentral is "partial 16S ribosomal RNA". It matches the Rfam family "Bacterial small subunit ribosomal RNA", at positions 354 to 796 of the family's 1533-position model. The record is from RNAcentral.
GUGGGGAAUAUUGCACAAUGGGCGAAAGCCUGAUGCAGCAACGCCGCGUGAGGGACGACGGCCUUCGGGUUGUAAACCUCUUUUAGUAGGGAAGAAGCGAAAGUGACGGUACCUGCAGAAAAAGCACCGGCUAACUACGUGCCAGCAGCCGCGGUAAUACGUAGGGUGCAAGCGUUAUCCGGAAUUAUUGGGCGUAAAGAGCUCGUAGGCGGUCUGUCACGUCUGCUGUGAAAACUGGAGGCUCAACCUCCAGCCUGCAGUGGGUACGGGCAGACUAGAGUGCGGUAGGGGAGAUUGGAAUUCCUGGUGUAGCGGUGGAAUGCGCAGAUAUCAGGAGGAACACCGAUGGCGAAGGCAGAUCUCUGGGCCGUAACUGACGCUGAGGAGCGAAAGCGUGGGGAGCGAACAGGAUUAGAAACCCUUGUAGUCC